GGGGCCGCGAUUGGGGUUCGACUGCUCCGAAACCAACAAAUGGACGGUUGCAGGAUUCGGGUUCAAUUCCCGACGGCUCCACUA
RNAcentral lists this non-coding RNA (84 nucleotides) under Nostoc sp. UCD121. The record is from RNAcentral. RNAcentral also lists the same sequence under 2 other names. Lineage: Bacteria; Bacillati; Cyanobacteriota; Cyanophyceae; Nostocales; Nostocaceae.